GGUUAAGCGACUAAGCGUACACGGUGGAUGCCCUGGCAGUCAGAGGCGAUGAAGGACGUGCUAAUCUGCGAUAAGCGUCGGUAAGGUGAUAUGAACCGUUAUAACCGGCGAUUUCCGAAUGGGGAAACCCAGUGUGUUUCGACACACUAUCAUUAACUGAAUCCAUAGGUUAAUGAGGCGAACCGGGGGAACUGAAACAUCUAAGUACCCCGAGGAAAAGAAAUCAACCGAGAUUCCCCCAGUAGCGGCGAGCGAACGGGGAGCAGCCCAGAGCCUGAAUCAGUAUGUGUGUUAGUGGAAGCGUCUGGAAAGGCGCGCGAUACAGGGUGACAGCCCCGUACACAAAAAUGCACAUAUUGUGAGCUCGAUGAGUAGGGCGGGACACGUGGUAUCCUGUCUGAAUAUGGGGGGACCAUCCUCCAAGGCUAAAUACUCCUGACUGACCGAUAGUGAACCAGUACCGUGAGGGAAAGGCGAAAAGAACCCCGGCGAGGGGAGUGAAAAAGAACCUGAAACCGUGUACGUACAAGCAGUGGGAGCCUCUUUAUGGGGUGACUGCGUACCUUUUGUAUAAUGGGUCAGCGACUUAUAUUCUGUAGCAAGGUUAACCGAAUAGGGGAGCCGAAGGGAAACCGAGUCUUAACUGGGCGUUAAGUUGCAGGGUAUAGACCCGAAACCCGGUGAUCUAGCCAUGGGCAGGUUGAAGGUUGGGUAACACUAACUGGAGGACCGAACCGACUAAUGUUGAAAAAUUAGCGGAUGACUUGUGGCUGGGGGUGAAAGGCCAAUCAAACCGGGAGAUAGCUGGUUCUCCCCGAAAGCUAUUUAGGUAGCGCCUCGUGAAUUCAUCUCCGGGGGUAGAGCACUGUUUCGGCAAGGGGGUCAUCCCGACUUACCAACCCGAUGCAAACUGCGAAUACCGGAGAAUGUUAUCACGGGAGACACACGGCGGGUGCUAACGUCCGUCGUGAAGAGGGAAACAACCCAGACCGCCAGCUAAGGUCCCAAAGUCAUGGUUAAGUGGGAAACGAUGUGGGAAGGCCCAGACAGCCAGGAUGUUGGCUUAGAAGCAGCCAUCAUUUAAAGAAAGCGUAAUAGCUCACUGGUCGAGUCGGCCUGCGCGGAAGAUGUAACGGGGCUAAACCAUGCACCGAAGCUGCGGCAGCGACACUAUGUGUUGUUGGGUAGGGGAGCGUUCUGUAAGCCUGUGAAGGUGUGCUGUGAGGCAUGCUGGAGGUAUCAGAAGUGCGAAUGCUGACAUAAGUAACGAUAAAGCGGGUGAAAAGCCCGCUCGCCGGAAGACCAAGGGUUCCUGUCCAACGUUAAUCGGGGCAGGGUGAGUCGACCCCUAAGGCGAGGCCGAAAGGCGUAGUCGAUGGGAAACAGGUUAAUAUUCCUGUACUUGGUGUUACUGCGAAGGGGGGACGGAGAAGGCUAUGUUGGCCGGGCGACGGUUGUCCCGGUUUAAGCGUGUAGGCUGGUUUUCCAGGCAAAUCCGGAAAAUCAAGGCUGAGGCGUGAUGACGAGGCACUACGGUGCUGAAGCAACAAAUGCCCUGCUUCCAGGAAAAGCCUCUAAGCAUCAGGUAACAUCAAAUCGUACCCCAAACCGACACAGGUGGUCAGGUAGAGAAUACCAAGGCGCUUGAGAGAACUCGGGUGAAGGAACUAGGCAAAAUGGUGCCGUAACUUCGGGAGAAGGCACGCUGAUAUGUAGGUGAAGCGACUUGCUCGUGGAGCUGAAAUCAGUCGAAGAUACCAGCUGGCUGCAACUGUUUAUUAAAAACACAGCACUGUGCAAACACGAAAGUGGACGUAUACGGUGUGACGCCUGCCCGGUGCCGGAAGGUUAAUUGAUGGGGUUAGCCGCAAGGCGAAGCUCUUGAUCGAAGCCCCGGUAAACGGCGGCCGUAACUAUAACGGUCCUAAGGUAGCGAAAUUCCUUGUCGGGUAAGUUCCGACCUGCACGAAUGGCGUAAUGAUGGCCAGGCUGUCUCCACCCGAGACUCAGUGAAAUUGAACUCGCUGUGAAGAUGCAGUGUACCCGCGGCAAGACGGAAAGACCCCGUGAACCUUUACUAUAGCUUGACACUGAACAUUGAGCCUUGAUGUGUAGGAUAGGUGGGAGGCUUUGAAGUGUGGACGCCAGUCUGCAUGGAGCCGACCUUGAAAUACCACCCUUUAAUGUUUGAUGUUCUAACGUUGACCCGUAAUCCGGGUUGCGGACAGUGUCUGGUGGGUAGUUUGACUGGGGCGGUCUCCUCCUAAAGAGUAACGGAGGAGCACGAAGGUUGGCUAAUCCUGGUCGGACAUCAGGAGGUUAGUGCAAUGGCAUAAGCCAGCUUGACUGCGAGCGUGACGGCGCGAGCAGGUGCGAAAGCAGGUCAUAGUGAUCCGGUGGUUCUGAAUGGAAGGGCCAUCGCUCAACGGAUAAAAGGUACUCCGGGGAUAACAGGCUGAUACCGCCCAAGAGUUCAUAUCGACGGCGGUGUUUGGCACCUCGAUGUCGGCUCAUCACAUCCUGGGGCUGAAGUAGGUCCCAAGGGUAUGGCUGUUCGCCAUUUAAAGUGGUACGCGAGCUGGGUUUAGAACGUCGUGAGACAGUUCGGUCCCUAUCUGCCGUGGGCGCUGGAGAACUGAGGGGGCUGCUCUAGUACGAGAGGACCGGAGUGGACGCAUCACUGGUGUUCGGGUUGUCAUGCCAAUGGCACUGCCCGGUAGCUAAAUGCGGAAGAGAUAAGUGCUGAAAGCAUCUAAGCACGAAACUUGCCCCGAGAUGAGUUCUCCCUGAGACUUAGAGUCUCCUGAAGGAACGUUGAAGACGACGACGUUGAUAGGCCGGGUGUGUAAGCGCAGCGAUGCGUUGAGCUAACCGGUACUAAUGAACCGUGAGGCUUAACCUU
This 2902-nucleotide ribosomal RNA is filed under the name Escherichia coli. Its description in RNAcentral is "23S ribosomal RNA". It matches the Rfam family "Bacterial large subunit ribosomal RNA". The record is from RNAcentral. Lineage: Bacteria; Pseudomonadati; Pseudomonadota; Gammaproteobacteria; Enterobacterales; Enterobacteriaceae.